CACUUCAAAUAAAACUUGGCUCUCCUUUUUUGAUCCUGAUUUAGGGGCAUAACACUGGCUGCAUAUUUUACUCCUCUGCUGGGUAUGGUGAGGGUGCUGAGCAAGAAAGAAGACUGGCCAUAUUAAGGGGGACCAGGCUUCCUGAAUCAGUUUGUAGCAGAAGAGUACAAGAGGGAGGAUCUACGAAAAACAGGCGAUGUGUUGAUCAGAGCCCCUAACCAUGAGGUGGUAUGGCACUACAGCCUCCGUCCUCUUGAGAGGCUGGGACUUCAGAAGAAGUGCCAUACCUGCUCCAUUGCCUACGAUGUACCAGCGGAAGUAGAAACACGGUUUCACAAGAAUCCCCUUCUUGAGACACAGGGCAUGGUGCUCUGUGGAGACACUCUCAUGAUUUGAGGCAGGUCCUUAGGAAUUUUCCAGCAAUGAAAUGCAACUUUAUCACUUUGAAAGACAUCAGGCAGGUAAAUUAACCACUCACCCUAUUAACGCUGCCCUGUUAUUGUCACUUCAUCUGUUCAAGAACAUAAUUCAG
This 532-nucleotide long non-coding RNA is filed under the name Anser brachyrhynchus (Pink-footed goose). RNAcentral describes it as "lncRNA (ENSABRG00000009436.1)". The record is from RNAcentral. Lineage: Eukaryota; Metazoa; Chordata; Aves; Anseriformes; Anatidae.